GCGGAAUUCGUCGUGUAGCGGUGAAAUGCUUAGAUAUGACGAAGAACUCCGAUUGCGAAGGCAGCUGACGGGAGCGCAACUGACGCUGAAGCUCGAAGGUGCGGGUAUCGAACAGGAUUAGAUACCCUGGUAGUCCGCACAGUAAACGAUGGAUGCCCGCUGUUGGUACCUGGUAUCAGCGGCUAAGCGAAAGCAUUAAGCAUCCCACCUGGGGAGUACGCCGACAACGGUGAAACUCAAAGGAAUUGACGGAGGCCCGCACAAGCGGAGGAACAUGUGGUUUAAUUCGAUGAUACGCGAGGAACCUUACCCGGGCUUGAACUAACGGUGACGAAUCUAGAGAUAG
RNAcentral lists this ribosomal RNA (346 nucleotides) under uncultured bacterium. RNAcentral describes it as "bacterial SSU rRNA". It matches the Rfam family "Bacterial small subunit ribosomal RNA", at positions 661 to 1009 of the family's 1533-position model. The record is from RNAcentral.